Molecule: ribosomal RNA, 253 nt
Filed under: uncultured bacterium
Lineage: Bacteria
Description: partial 16S ribosomal RNA
Rfam family: Bacterial small subunit ribosomal RNA
Source: RNAcentral
UACAGAGGGGGCAAGCGUUGUUCGGAAUUAUUGGGCGUAAAGGGCUCGUAGGCGGUUUGUCGCGUCGGGAGUGAAAACUCAGGGCUUAACCCUGAGCCUGCUUCCGAUACGGGCAGACUAGAGGUAUGCAGGGGAGAACGGAAUUCCUGGUGUAGCGGUGAAAUGCGUAGAUAUCGAGAGGAACACCUGCGGCGAAGGCGGGUUGCUGGGCCGACACUGACGCUGAUGCGCGAAAGCCAGGGGAGCGAACGGG